Molecule: ribosomal RNA, 253 nt
Filed under: uncultured bacterium
Lineage: Bacteria
Description: partial 16S ribosomal RNA
Rfam family: Bacterial small subunit ribosomal RNA
Source: RNAcentral
UACAGAGGGGGCAAGCGUUGUUCGGAAUUACUGGGCGUAAAGGGCGCGUAGGCGGCCUGCUAAGUCGAACGUGAAAUCCCCGGGCUCAACCCGGGGACUGCGUCCGAUACUGGUGGGCUUGAAUCCGGGAGAGGGAUGUGGAAUUCCAGGUGUAGCGGUGAAAUGCGUAGAUAUCUGGAGGAACACCGGUGGCGAAGGCGGCAUCCUGGACCGGUAUUGACGCUGAGGCGCGAAAGCCAGGGGAGCAAACGGG